CGACCUCAGUUCAGGUGAGACUACCCCCUGGAUUAAAGCAUUUUAAUAAGGGGAGGAAAAGAAACUAACAAGGAUUCCCUUAGUACCCGCGAGGGAACUGGGAAGAGCCCAGCGCUGAAUCCUCCGGGACCUGCCUCCCGGUUGGAAAUGUAGCGUAUAGAAGGAUUCGUUAACGGGAGGUGACCGGAACGCUCAAGUCCUGACUUGAACGANGGCCACANGAGGGUGACAUCCCCUUGGGGCGGCUGGAGCCUUCCAAUGGUUUCUUCUGAGAGUAGGAUCCAUUGAAACGCAAACUGAAGCAGUUGCUAGAUUCCAUCUAAGGCUAAAAUAUGACCACGAGACGGAUAGCGCACACGUACCGCAAGGGAAAGGUGAAAAGAACUUUGAAGAGAGAGUUCAAGAGUACGUGAAACUGAGUUGAUUGAAAUUGGACGAGACCGAAAAGUCCGGACGGGUAGACUCAGGUGCGCCGCACCGGAGCCCGCGUGGGGAAGUUGGUCGAGAAGCGUUUCGUUCUGCGGCUCGCGCUCGACCUCGGGACCGCGUGCGUUUGCGCCCGGAGCGGAGUUCUGAACUUCUAUCCUAGUAGGAGGUCGCGACCCGUUGAGUUAUUUGGUCGGCUUGUGGGCCCUUGGUUGNNAGCACGCUUGUUUCGAAAGAGACCUGCGAACCCCGGGUGUCNUAGUCAGCCCUCGACGGUAUCAUAAAAACUAGGUGAAGGGACCGCGCCUUUAGUAGGGUGCGCCUCGCUUCGGCGGGACAGGUCCUCGAACCGGUCGGCGGCUUUAUUGUUUUUGGUACUCGCCCGCCCCGUCUUGAAACACGGACCAAGGAGUCU
RNAcentral lists this ribosomal RNA (841 nucleotides) under Parthenothrips dracaenae. RNAcentral's name for it is "eukaryotic LSU rRNA". It matches the Rfam family "Eukaryotic large subunit ribosomal RNA", at positions 1 to 676 of the family's 3401-position model. The record is from RNAcentral. Lineage: Eukaryota; Metazoa; Arthropoda; Insecta; Thysanoptera; Thripidae.